This 253-nucleotide ribosomal RNA is filed under the name uncultured microorganism. RNAcentral's name for it is "partial 16S ribosomal RNA". It matches the Rfam family "Bacterial small subunit ribosomal RNA", at positions 524 to 776 of the family's 1533-position model. The record is from RNAcentral.
UACGUAGGUGGCAAGCGUUGUCCGGAAUUAUUGGGCGUAAAGCGCGCGCAGGUGGUUUCUUAAGUCUGAUGUGAAAGCCCACGGCUCAACCGUGGAGGGUCAUUGGAAACUGGGAGACUUGAGUGCAGAAGAGGAUAGUGGAAUUCCAAGUGUAGCGGUGAAAUGCGUAGAGAUUUGGAGGAACACCAGUGGCGAAGGCGACUAUCUGGUCUGUAACUGACACUGAGGCUCGAAAGCGUGGGUAGCAAACAGG